This 463-nucleotide ribosomal RNA is filed under the name uncultured bacterium. RNAcentral's name for it is "bacterial SSU rRNA". It matches the Rfam family "Bacterial small subunit ribosomal RNA", at positions 28 to 507 of the family's 1533-position model. The record is from RNAcentral.
GACGAACGCUGGCGGCGUGCCUAACACAUGCAAGUCGAACGGAGUGAAGCCCUUCGGGACUUCACUUAGUGGCGAACGGGUGAGUAACGCGUGAGGAACCUGCCUUUCAGUGGGGGACAACAGUUGGAAACGACUGCUAAUACCGCAUAAUACUUUUUGGGGACAUCCCCGAAAAGUCAAAGCUUUAUGUGCUGAAAGAUGGCCUCGCGUCUGAUUAGCUAGUUGGUGAGGUAACGGCCCACCAAGGCGACGAUUGGUAGCCGGACUGAGAGGUUGAACGGCCACAUUGGGACUGAGACACGGCCCAGACUCCUACGGGAGGCAGCAGUGGGGAAUAUUGCACAAUGGGGGAAACCCUGAUGCAGCGACGCCGCGUGGAGGAAGAAGGUCUUCGGAUUGUAAACUCCUGUUGUUGAGGAAGAUAAUGACGGUACUCAACAAGGAAGUGACGGCUAACUACGUG